GGUUGAUUAGUGUAGUUGGUUAUCACAUCGGAUUUUGAGAAGACUUGAAUUCCGGGGACCCGGGUUCGAAUCCCAGAUCGACCU
RNAcentral lists this transfer RNA (84 nucleotides) under Blumeria hordei DH14. RNAcentral describes it as "tRNA-Gln for anticodon UUG". It matches the Rfam family "tRNA". Rfam says of the family: Transfer RNA (tRNA) molecules are approximately 80 nucleotides in length. Their secondary structure includes four short double-helical elements and three loops (D, anti-codon, and T loops). Lineage: Eukaryota; Fungi; Ascomycota; Leotiomycetes; Helotiales; Erysiphaceae. The record is from Rfam by way of RNAcentral. RNAcentral also lists the same sequence under 1 other name.